RNAcentral lists this ribosomal RNA (459 nucleotides) under uncultured bacterium. Its description in RNAcentral is "partial 16S ribosomal RNA". It matches the Rfam family "Bacterial small subunit ribosomal RNA", at positions 338 to 795 of the family's 1533-position model. The record is from RNAcentral.
CCUACGGGAGGCAGCAGUGAGGAAUAUUGGUCAAUGGUCGGGAGACUGAACCAGCCAAGCCGCGUGAGGGAUGAAGGUACAGAGUAUCGUAAACCUCUUUUGUCAGGGAACAAAGGCGGGGACGUGUCCCCGGAUGAGUGUACCUGAAGAAAAAGCAUCGGCUAACUCCGUGCCAGCAGCCGCGGUAAUACGGAGGAUGCGAGCGUUAUCCGGAUUUAUUGGGUUUAAAGGGUGCGCAGGCGGUCUGUUAAGUCAGCGGGCAAAGCCCGGGGCUCAACCCCGGCCCGCCGUUGAAACUGGCAGUCUCGAGUUGGAGAGAAGUAUGCGGAAUGCGCGGUGUAGCGGUGAAAUGCAUAGAGAUCGCGCAGAACUCCGAUUGCGAAGGCAGCAUGCCGGCUCCACACUGACGCUGAGGCACGAAAGCGUGGGUAUCGAACAGGAUUAGAUACCCUUGUAGUC